AUGGCGCCGCCGCCACCACCGAACCAAGGUGACCUCGCCACGCCGGCCGCGCUGCGGGCGCCGGCGGACGUGAUCUCCCGGGUCUUCUCGCAGCUGGACUGCGUCGACCUCCUCAGCUGCUCCCUCGUCUGCAGGCAAUGGUGCCGCGACUCUGCGGAGCUACGGGAAGAGUGGAGGAUGGAGUACAUGGACGCCUGGAACCUGCUGGGUCUCAACAUCAAGUCCGAUACGCGAUCGCCAUGCCCAACUUGCUCCAUCAGAAACCUGCGAACCUGGUGCCCUUAA
This 285-nucleotide ribosomal RNA is filed under the name Triticum aestivum (bread wheat). RNAcentral describes it as "partial small subunit ribosomal RNA". The record is from RNAcentral. Lineage: Eukaryota; Viridiplantae; Streptophyta; Magnoliopsida; Poales; Poaceae.